UAUGGCGACCGGCGCACGGGUGAGUAACACGUAUCCAACCUGCCGAUGACUCGGGGGAUAGCCUUUCGAAAGAAAGAUUAAUACCCGAUGGCAUAGUUCUUCCGCAUGGUGGAACUAUUAAAGAAUUUCGGUCAUCGAUGGGGAUGCGUUCCAUUAGGUUGUUGGCGGGGUAACGGCCCACCAAGCCUUCGAUGGAUAGGGGGUUCUGAGAGGAAGGUCCCCCACAUUGGAACUGAGACACGGUCCAAACUCCUACGGGAGGCAGCAUG
RNAcentral lists this ribosomal RNA (269 nucleotides) under uncultured bacterium. Its description in RNAcentral is "partial 16S ribosomal RNA". It matches the Rfam family "Bacterial small subunit ribosomal RNA", at positions 87 to 353 of the family's 1533-position model. The record is from RNAcentral.